RNAcentral lists this ribosomal RNA (775 nucleotides) under uncultured Neocallimastigales. Its description in RNAcentral is "partial large subunit ribosomal RNA". It matches the Rfam family "Eukaryotic large subunit ribosomal RNA", at positions 24 to 646 of the family's 3401-position model. Lineage: Eukaryota; Fungi; Neocallimastigomycota; Neocallimastigomycetes; Neocallimastigales. The record is from RNAcentral.
GUAGUCUCGCACAGAUGCAUAUCAAUAAGCGGAGGAAAAGAAACUAACAAGGAUUCCCCUAGUAACGGCGAGUGAAGCGGGAAGAGCUCAAAUUUGAAAUCUUAAAGGGUUUCCCCUUACGAAUUGUAGUUUAAAGAAGUGUUUUCUGUUGAGGUUUUGGUAAAAGUUCUUUGGAAUAGGACAUCAUAGAGGGUGAGAAUCCCGUAUUUGACCAUUUACUUUCAGCUGUGUGAUACACUUUCAAAGAGUCGGAUUGUUUGGGAAUGCAGUCCAAAAUGGGUGGUAAAUUUCAUCUAAAGCUAAAUAUUGGCGAGAGACCGAUAGCGAACAAGUACCGUGAGGGAAAGAUGAAAAGAACUUUGAAAAGAGAGUUAAACAGUACGUGAAAUUGUCAAAAGGGAAGCGUUUGACACCAGUGUUGUUUUUCUGAAAAUCAAUUAAAGAACUGUUUAUGCUAAGCUGUUUAGACUUUAUCAGCUAUCUGUUUAGUUUUGAGCUUUUCUUUAAUGCACUUUUCAGUUAACAAGUCAACAUCAAUUUCUUUUGCUGUAAAAAAGCUUGAGGAAGGUGGCUUGAGAUCUGUCUUAAGUGUUUAUAGCCUCUUGCCUAUGCAGUCGGAGAGAUUGAGGUCUGCAGCGUAGAUCCUUCGGGGCUAAAUGCAUUUGUGCUAAGUUAUAGCAUUUUAUAGACAACUUGUUGACUAUGAUUUGUCUUGUAGCUUACUCGCUUAUGUUAUUUUACCUACGCUUAGGAUGUUGAUGUGAUACUGCGAGCA